GUGGUUGGUAUCAAGGAUGCGAGUGAGAGGCUUAGAAGUAGACAUUUUUUAUAGAGAGAAGAAGAUUCUAGUUAGACUUUAUAUUUGACUUGUUUUAGUUUAUUUUAAAAGUUUUAUUUUAAAAAUAACUCAACUCUCACUAUUUUCUCAAAAUCUUCCACACUCUUCGGGUGGAGAAAUGGAAACCUCUAUGAUUAAGAUUUCAAGUGGAUAUUAUGGUCCCGCUG
Molecule: long non-coding RNA, 227 nt
Filed under: Elaeis guineensis (African oil palm)
Lineage: Eukaryota; Viridiplantae; Streptophyta; Magnoliopsida; Arecales; Arecaceae
Description: long non-coding RNA (EGUI_LNC028300)
Source: RNAcentral